GGCCUCCUGGUGCUUCCCACAGACUGUGUUCCUACACUGACUGUAUAGAAAGAGGAGGCAGAGUAAUCUACCCUGUAUACACCCGAGCCCUGUGCCUAGUCUGUAUUGUGAAUGGGGGACAUGG
Small nucleolar RNA from Tupaia belangeri (northern tree shrew), 124 nucleotides. NCBI's taxonomy places the organism in Eukaryota, Metazoa, Chordata, Mammalia, Scandentia, Tupaiidae. The record is from Ensembl.